This 511-nucleotide ribosomal RNA is filed under the name uncultured Pseudomonadota bacterium. Its description in RNAcentral is "bacterial SSU rRNA". It matches the Rfam family "Bacterial small subunit ribosomal RNA", at positions 392 to 896 of the family's 1533-position model. The record is from RNAcentral. Lineage: Bacteria; Pseudomonadati; Pseudomonadota.
CGACGCCGCGUGGGUGAUGAAGGCCUUCGGGUUGUAAAGCCCUGUGGGAGGGACGAAUAACGCCGACCUAAUACGUCGGUGGAUGACGGUACCUCCUUAGCAAGCACCGGCUAACUCUGUGCCAGCAGCCGCGGUAAGACAGAGGGUGCAAACGUUGUUCGGAAUUACUGGGCGUAAAGCGCGAGUAGGCGGUCAUGCAAGUCGGGUGUGAAAGCCCGGGGCUCAACCCCGGAAGUGCAUUCGAUACUGCGUGGCUAGAGUACUGGAGAGGAUGGUGGAACUCUCGGUGUAGAGGUGAAAUUCGUAGAUAUCGAGAAGAACACCGGUGGCGAAGGCGGCCAUCUGGACAGAUACUGACGCUGAGACGCGAAAGCGUGGGGAGCAAACAGGAUUAGAUACCCUGGUAGUCCACGCCGUAAACGAUGGGUGCUAGGUGUCACGGGUAUUGACCCCUGUGGUGCCGAAGCUAACGCAUUAAGCACCCCGCCUGGGAAGUACGGCCGCAAGGCUA